UUACAAAUUUCACAGGAUUUAUUGGCCUCAAUAUUAGAAUAUCAUCUUUUAUCUCUUCUCAGGUUGAUCUACUUCUUCCCAUCAAUGCCACACAUACUGGGGAAGAGGAGGUGCCCCGAUACUUACCUGGGUUAGGGGUCUUGCCUUGUUGGAUGUGUCAUGAUUUACACCACCAUCUGCAUCUGGCUUGUUCCUCUGGAGCUCUGGCCUUUCAUCUCUUCUCCUCACUGGAUUUCUGGCUUGGCCUUCUACUGGAGUCUCACUACUAUUCUUCUGAUUCUGAUAGUGACCUCUUCAACAGUGUUUCUCUGUAUAACUUGCUAAUGGAAAAGAGAAGAUUCACAGCUAAGGUGUCAUCAUGAUCCAAAGGAAGACUCUCUCCUCUCAUAUGUCUCUGUGCGGUCCUCCCCAUUUUAUUAAAAUCACUUAACUAAAAAGGUAGAAUGUCUUUUUUAAUUCUUUUUUUUAAUGUUUAUUUAUUUUUGAGAGACAGAGACAGAGUGUGAGCAGGGGAGAAGCAGAGAGAGAGGAGACACAGAAUCCAAAGCAGGCUCCAGACUCUGAGCUGUCAGUACAGAGUCCAACGCGGGGCUUGAACCCCCUAACUGUGAGAUCGUGA
Molecule: long non-coding RNA, 619 nt
Filed under: Felis catus (domestic cat)
Lineage: Eukaryota; Metazoa; Chordata; Mammalia; Carnivora; Felidae
Description: lncRNA (ENSFCAG00000050901.1)
Source: RNAcentral